This 397-nucleotide ribosomal RNA is filed under the name uncultured bacterium. Its description in RNAcentral is "bacterial SSU rRNA". It matches the Rfam family "Bacterial small subunit ribosomal RNA", at positions 29 to 429 of the family's 1533-position model. The record is from RNAcentral.
AUUAAACGCUGGCGGCAUGCCUUACACAUGCAAGUCGAACGGCAGCACGGGGGCAACCCUGGUGGCGAGUGGCGGACGGGUGAGUAAAGCAUCGGAACGUAUCCUGGAGUGGGGGAUAACGUAGCGAAAGUUACGCUAAUACCGCAUAUUCUGUGAGCAGGAAAGCAGGGGAUCGCAAGACCUUGCGCUCUGGGAGCGGCCGAUGUCGGAUUAGCUAGUUGGUGGGGUAAAGGCCUACCAAGGCGACGAUCCGUAGCGGGUCUGAGAGGAUGAUCCGCCACACUGGGACUGAGACACGGCCCAGACUCCUACGGGAGGCAGCAGUGGGGAAUUUUGGACAAUGGGCGGAAGCCUGAUCCAGCCAUGCCGCGUGAGUGAAGAAGGCCUCGGUUGUAAG